GGCUGGGUAGCUCAGUCGGUACGAGCGAUCGCCUGAAAAGCGAUAGGUCGCCGGUUCGAUCCCGGCCCCAGCCACCA
Molecule: transfer RNA, 77 nt
Filed under: Streptomyces tardus
Lineage: Bacteria; Bacillati; Actinomycetota; Actinomycetes; Kitasatosporales; Streptomycetaceae
Description: tRNA-Phe
Rfam family: tRNA
About the family: Transfer RNA (tRNA) molecules are approximately 80 nucleotides in length. Their secondary structure includes four short double-helical elements and three loops (D, anti-codon, and T loops).
Source: RNAcentral